Molecule: ribosomal RNA, 373 nt
Filed under: uncultured organism
Description: bacterial SSU rRNA
Rfam family: Bacterial small subunit ribosomal RNA
Source: RNAcentral
CGGGGGGGGCAAGCGUUGUUCGGAAGUUACUGGGCGUAAAGGGCUCGUAGGCGGCCAACUAAGUCCGACGUGAAAUCCCAAGGCUUAACCUUGGAACUGCGUCGGAUACUGGAUGGCUUGAAUUCGGGAGAGGGAUGCAGAAUUCCAGGUGUAGCGGUGAAAUGCGUAGAUAUCUGGAGGAAUACCGGUGGCGAAGGCGGCAUCCUGGACCGACAUUGACGCUGAGGAGCGAAAGCUAGGGGAGCAAACGGGAUUAGAUACCCCGGUAGUCCUAGCCCUAAACGAUGAAUGUUUGGUGUGGCGGGUAUCGAUCCCUGCCGUGCCGAAGCUAACGCAUUAAACAUUCCGCCUGGGGAGUACGGUCGCAAGGCUG